CACUCAAUGAAGCCAUUAGCCAAGUUGUGAAGUACAAUAACCAUUUAUCUCAAUGAUGACAUGAUAAACGUUCUUCAAUUAUACCACAUGUACACACCAAUUAUUUUACAACUUCUUCACCACCCAAUUCUAAUGAGAAGUUAGAAAAAAAAGAUAUGCAAAUUGAUGUAGUUUGCUUUAAAACUGUAGAUAUUGCAAAAAACCUGGCUAUAAGAUUAAUAAUUAUUCAGAGAAAUAUCAACGUAUAUAUUGAAUGAGGAGUGCAGUCAUAUCAUCAAAAGCAUUGCAGGAAAACAAACACGUCUAGCCAUAAUAAGGACCAUGCAACUAGAUUCUUCACUAUCACAAAUCAAAAAAGAUUAUGUACUCUCUGCCAACCCUUCUCAUUGUUUUAAUAUACUUGUACAGUUAGGAGUCACAAAACUAGAUUGUCAUGCAUUACUUGACUUGGAAGCCUUUACAUGUUUUAUUGGCAAAGAAUUUUCUAGAUCACACAAUAUCUAUAUGGUCAAAAAAUCCAAAGUUGUACAUGUAGAAGUAAUAGAUGGUCGAUCUUUAUUCUCUAGAAACAUCACUCAUGAAACAAUU
Molecule: long non-coding RNA, 588 nt
Filed under: Physcomitrium patens
Lineage: Eukaryota; Viridiplantae; Streptophyta; Bryopsida; Funariales; Funariaceae
Description: long non-coding RNA (PPAT_LNC005131)
Source: RNAcentral